UGCUACAGCCAUGUCACUCCACAGCCCAAGAACGGGAAUUCACUGAAAAUAAGCAGGGCUGAACCUGGUCAGUAUCUGGAUAGGAGAUCACAUGGGAGAACUAGGUUGCUGUUGAAA
RNAcentral lists this ribosomal RNA (117 nucleotides) under Danio rerio (zebrafish). The record is from RNAcentral. Lineage: Eukaryota; Metazoa; Chordata; Actinopteri; Cypriniformes; Danionidae.